Molecule: small RNA, 133 nt
Filed under: Escherichia coli
Lineage: Bacteria; Pseudomonadati; Pseudomonadota; Gammaproteobacteria; Enterobacterales; Enterobacteriaceae
Description: RtT sRNA
Rfam family: RtT RNA
About the family: This family represents a bacterial cis-regulatory element known as RtT RNA. The exact function of RtT is unknown although it is thought that it may be involved in changing the cellular response in relation to amino acid starvation.
Source: RNAcentral
AUUCUGCCCAUGCGGGGAAGGAUGAGAAGCUUCGACCUAAGGUUCGGCUCGAGCGUCAGCGAGAGAGCGUUGCCGCAGGCAACGACCCGAAGGGCGAAGCGCGCAGCGCUGAGUAAUCCUUCCCCCACCACCA